RNAcentral lists this ribosomal RNA (499 nucleotides) under Atractosteus spatula (alligator gar). Its description in RNAcentral is "partial 12S ribosomal RNA". It matches the Rfam family "Bacterial small subunit ribosomal RNA", at positions 800 to 1527 of the family's 1533-position model. Lineage: Eukaryota; Metazoa; Chordata; Actinopteri; Semionotiformes; Lepisosteidae. The record is from RNAcentral.
CCCUAAACCUAAAUAAUAAGAUACGAAUAUUAUCCGCCAGGGGACUACAAGCGCUAGCUUAAAACCCAAAGGACUUGGCGGUGUCCCAAACCCACCUAGAGGAGCCUGUUCUAGAACCGAUACUCCCCGUUAAACCUCACCACUUCUUGUCAAUCCCGCCUAUAUACCGCCGUCGCCAGCUUACCCUGUGAAGGAAAAACAGUAAGCAAAGAGGGAACACCCCAAAACGUCAGGUCGAGGUGUAGCGUACGAAGUGGGAAGAAAUGGGCUACAUUUUCUAUAUCAGAACAUAACGAACAACACCAUGAAACUGGUAUUUUAAGGUGGAUUUAGCAGUAAAAAGAAAAUAGAGAGUUCUUUUGAAGUUGGCUCUGGGACGCGCACACACCGCCCGUCACUCUCCUCGAACAUAACCAUUUAACUUAAUAAGCAACAAACCAAAACAAGAGGAGGCAAGUCGUAACAUGGUAAGUGUACCGGAAGGUGCACUUGGAAUAAC